UGGGAUGUUGAGGGAAAAUAAAGGUAACACCUACUCUAACCAUCUCCAUACUGCACAAGCUGAGUGAAGAAAGGACCUCGAGAAACUGAGAGCAAUUCUGUUUUAAGAACAAGUCCAAAGGUCAAUGGCUGCAACUGGCUAUCUGAAAUUCAUCAUUAGACACAGAACUAAGAGGAGUUCAUUUAGGUUAUAAGAUGAACUCUAUUUGAACACUGUGAAACAGCAAAAGUAGGGGAUUCAAAGUCUGGAGAAGACCCUGUAGUUUAACCUAGACAGGAAAACAGUGCUUUUCAACUGGACAUUUGUCACUGUUGGGAGGUGUAAAGACAAGAAAUGCUACCCACUGUUCUACAAUGUACAGGACAACUACAGGAACAAAUAAUUAUCUGCUCCAAAAUAUUUAUAUUCUUAUUGUUGAUAAACACUGACACACAUAAAGCUGUAAAAUUCACUAAUAUGUCAAAAGGCUAUGCACUAUGUGAUGAUUAAUCUUCAUUGUCAACUAGGCUGGAUUUAGAAUCGCCACUGAAAAACAUUCCUGAGAUUGUCUGUAGGGAUAUUUUCAGAAAAGUUUAACUGAUGGAGAAAUGCCCACCUGGAAUGUUAGACAAUACUGUCUUAUAGGCUAAGGUCUUCGACUAAAUAAAAGUGGACAGUGUGUUGACUACCAACAUUCAUCCUUUCUGCUUCCUGAUUGUGCAUGCAAUAUGAUGACUUGUUUGACACUUCUACUGACAUGCUGUCCCUGUCAUGAUGAACUAUAUCUCAAAAUAAACCUUUUCUUCCUUGUUA
Non-coding RNA from Peromyscus maniculatus bairdii (prairie deer mouse), 792 nucleotides. The record is from RefSeq and is a predicted model, not a curated record. Lineage: Eukaryota; Metazoa; Chordata; Mammalia; Rodentia; Cricetidae.